UUGCUUUGACAGCACAUAUACUAAAAUUGGAAUUAUAAGGAAAUUAGCAUGGUCCCUGUGCAAUGAUUAUAAAUAACUCUGUGAAGUGUUCUAAAUAAAA
This is a small nuclear RNA of Oryctolagus cuniculus (rabbit), 100 nucleotides long. Lineage: Eukaryota; Metazoa; Chordata; Mammalia; Lagomorpha; Leporidae. The record is from Ensembl.